Molecule: ribosomal RNA, 449 nt
Filed under: uncultured bacterium
Lineage: Bacteria
Description: partial 16S ribosomal RNA
Rfam family: Bacterial small subunit ribosomal RNA
Source: RNAcentral
AACGAACGCUGGCGGCAGGCUUAACACAUGCAAGUCGAGCGCCCACUUCGGUGGGAGCGGCAGACGGGUGAGUAACACGUGGGAAUCUACCCAUCUCUACGGAACAACUCCGGGAAACUGGAGCUAAUACCGUAUACGCCCUUUGGGGGAAAGAUUUAUCGGAGAUGGAUGAGCCCGCGUUGGACUAGCUAGUUGGUGGGGUAAAGGCCUACCAAGGCGACGAUCCAUAGCUGGUCUGAGAGGAUGAUCAGCCACACUGGGACUGAGACACGGCCCAGACUCCUACGGGAGGCAGCAGUGGGGAAUCUUGCGCAAUGGGCGAAAGCCUGACGCAGCCAUGCCGCGUGAAUGAUGAAGGUCUUAGGAUUGUAAAGUUCUUUCGCCCGUGACGAUGAUGACGGUAACGGGAGAAGAAGCCCCGGCUAACUUCGUGCCAGCAGCCGCAGUAA